RNAcentral lists this unclassified non-coding RNA (143 nucleotides) under uncultured fungus. RNAcentral describes it as "sequence contains ITS1". The record is from RNAcentral. Lineage: Eukaryota; Fungi.
GUGUUUAGUUUUUGUAUACUACGUUCAUGACUGUUAUAGUUUGUAAUAGUGCGCCCGAGGGCGACGGUUCACAGAGGUUGGUUGGAUAUUAAAGCCCGUGAGGGCAUUCAAUAAUGAUCCUUCCGCAGGUUCACCUACGGAAA